RNAcentral lists this ribosomal RNA (388 nucleotides) under uncultured bacterium. RNAcentral describes it as "bacterial SSU rRNA". It matches the Rfam family "Bacterial small subunit ribosomal RNA", at positions 28 to 417 of the family's 1533-position model. The record is from RNAcentral.
GACGAACGCUGGCGGCGUGCUUAACACAUGCAAGUCGAGCGGUAAGGCCCUUUCGGGGGUACACGGGCGGCGAACGGGUGAGUAACACGUGGGUGACCUGCCCUUAGCUCUGGGAUAAGCCUGGGAAACUGGGUCUAAUACCGGAUAUGACUCCAUGACGCAUGUUGUGGGGUGGAAAGCCUUGUGCGGCUAGGGAUGGGCCCGCGGCCUAUCAGCUUGUUGGUGGGGUGAUGGCCUACCAAGGCGACGACGGGUAGCCGGCCUGAGAGGGCGACCGGCCACACUGGGACUGAGACACGGCCCAGACUCCUACGGGAGGCAGCAGUGGGGAAUCUUGCGCAAUGGGCGAAAGCCUGACGCAGCGACGCCGCGUGAGGGAUGACGGCCU